GUAUUAUCUAUGUCACUGCCCAAAAGUCAAAGAAAGAAUUGACAUUUGAACGGUGGGGGUUUGUUUAGAAAUUUUACUACAAAUUUACUGUUGAACAGUAAGUUUUAACAAAAUGAUUAAGAGACGUUUAUAUCUAAGCAUUCAAAGUCAACAACUUUAAUUUUGGUUCUUUAAACCAAGGAAAUAAGGCAAACAAUGAAAGGAAUUUAUUCGGAAAAAAAUCAUAAUUAGCCAUUCUUGAAUAUAAUUAUAUAAAGUACCUAGUAAAUCUAAGAUACUAAAAUGUAUUUAACACACAUUAUUAACUUGUCGUCGUACAAUAAACAAGGAUUUUAGAAAAACAAUGCAGCACCGCGGAAAGUAUAUGUAAAAAAUGUCAAAAAUCGCGAGAUAAAAAAAAAUCAUCUGUUGUUUGAUAUAAAAAUUAAUAAAAAUACUACAACAUUUGUAAGUAUUUUCCUUUUUCACUACUGAAUUCACAAAAGCUAAUCAACAACACUAUUACAAAACUAACUGAAUGACACCACAAUUUGAAUUUAGCGUUUGAAGUGAAACUUUUUUAGGGUUGUUGAGAGUAUGGGAUACUAUUUAGGAGGAGCGAGAGUGAGAAAAUAGACAGCAUAUUGUGAACCAUUCAACUGUGGAGAGAGGGAAGGAACAAAGUGAACUAAGUUCUUUCUCUUAUACACAGCAUUCCUUAUUACAAUAGGAAUUCAUUUAAGGAUGAAAAAUGAAGAAAACCAAAAUACUACACACCGCAAAAGAAGUUUCACGUCUUUCAAGUGCACCAAGUUGCAUGCAUGCAUUUUUUUUUGUUGUGUUGACAUAAAGAUCAUGAGUAUCUCAGAUUUCACUUUCAUAAAUCUCACUUUUUUAUAUAAAAAUCCAAAUUUUGCAGUUUUAUUAUUGCCCUUGUAGGCAGAUGAGCAUAUGGCUCACCUAAUAGUGAGCGGUUACCGUCGCCUAUUGACGUCAGCAAUGACAGGGGCAGAGUGUGUAACGCAAAUGCACCAUUUUUGUAUGAGAACGCCUGCUCAACCACACAAACGGCUUUUAUUUGCUGAACUUUUAUUUUCAUCACAUUCAUAAUAUAAGAGAUUAAUUUACAUUCAUUGUACAAUAUUAUUAUACGUCAUGAAUAUGAAUACCAAUAAUAUGAGUCACCUACAUUAAAUAUAUUUAUUUGUACAUAUGUGCUCAUAGUAAAAAUAUAUUUUAUUUUAUUAGUUUUAAAAUGGCAUAAUGCUGCACUUUAUUCUCUUUUUACCUUUUGUGCACAAGAUACGGACAAGUGCGAUGGAUUUUUUUUUAAAUUAAAACUAAAAAAUAAAAAAAAGAACCACAAGCAUGAGCUUAAAGCACAUCCCAAUUUUAACAUAUGAUUAACUUAAACUAUGGCCAAGUUUAAUAAAGUUUCUUCUUCUUUUUGUCGAAUACAAUUAAUUUUAAUGAUUAUUUUUAGUGCCCAUAGGUCAUGAUCCUAUUGUUGUUAAUUAAUUAAAUUGUGCCAAGGUGUCAGUGGAAAAAAUAUUUUUUUCAUAUACAUUUUUACAUUGUUUUGUUUUGUAGUGUGUAACCUCGUCAACAAUUUUUAAACUGAUCAUAAUUGCAAAUGAUUUUAAAUUGUUCAUUGAGUUUUAAAUUAUCGAGUGCAUGGUAGGCACUAUAAAAUUAAUUCUAUAGUAUUUAUGUACAAAAAUAAUAAAUAAAUUUUGUUGAAUUUUAAUUCUUAUAAAACCUAAAAAUUAAUUUUACUUCGAAUAAAAUUUUUACUGUGGGGAGAUCUCACAACUUUGCAAAAUAUGUAUAGUAAUGUACUUAAAAAUGUAAUUAAAAAUGAAAUGAAUGAUAUAUCCGAUACAUUUAGAAAUAACGCAAGGUAAUGCUUCCAAAACAAUGGCAAGCAGAUCAGACACAAAAAAGAAAGUUUUAUUCAAUUAAUAUUUUGAAUUAUAUUUCGUGCAUUACAGUAAUUCUAGUUUUUUAAAUGCCGAUGGGUAAUGCUAAAGUGACAACUCCAGAGUUAGUGUCCGUAUGUUUAGUAUGGAUCACUUAAAUGCAAAUGCACGUGCUUUAUCUUUGUGGCUGUAGCGAGUUGCCAUCACAGAAAACAAGAUAUGUGACAGAUGCCUGAAUCCCGCUAACGAAAUUUUCAAUAUAAGUUUGAAAAUGAAGUUUCGCACAACAAUAUUCGGACUGUCGGCUUACUAAGCAAUAUCACACACUCUGUGGAAGAUCUUCUCUUUGUCAUAACUCCCAAAUCACUCUUAAUCACAGAUUAUAAUUGUAGCCUAAUCAUAAAUUUUAAAACAUUUCUUCCACGUUAGAUUUGAUAAUCGUCUGCAUUAUGUACACUUGCAAUAACAUUUCAAAAAAUCUAUUAUUGAUCAGGACUCUUGGAAAAACAUUACCUAUUUUAAAGGCAUUUAAGUCCAAAGUCGUGACAGACCACAUAUAGGUAAUACUCCAAUAAACAGGUCCUUUUUAUAAACAGGUAGUACUGUAAAAAAAACCGAGACUUGUGUCUCAGGAUGGUUGAUGUCUAUGGGCUACAAUGACCUGUUAAAAUUAGGUGAGCUGUGGGCUCGUCCCGGUCCCAGUCCUGGUCGAAACAAAUCAGGCAAAUGAAAAGUCUACUGAAGCCAACCAUUUUCCGGUGAACCAUUUAGUGCCCAUUUUUGGACUCUGAUGGGAGAUAAUGUAGUGGUUUUAUUCUAGGCCCAAACCAUACUGUAAUUCAAUUAGCGUUAUGGAAACUUCUAUUGUAUACCUAAAAUGGUUUCAUUUUAGAAAAUGACUUCAGAAGAACACUUUCCAGUCAAAAUGAAAGACGCGAUCAGCAUAAAUCUAGAAAAUGAAGAAUUACAUUUAAAAACGAAACUGGAAGUCAAUAAUUAUGCUACUAGUGAAGGUCAAACUUCAGUAGCAUUUCAACAAAAUAAUGUUCAAGAUAUACGCACCCAAUGUAAUGAACAAUCUGUCCAAAACAAUCACCCUCAGGUAGACUGUAAUGAGACAAACGAUCAUGGAAGAAUUAAUAAUAUUGCCGAUAAUCAGACUUCGAUCGAAAUUAAAGAGAGCUCAAAUAUAGAAGAAGAAAAUAUAGAAGAUCAAUCAAUAAACCUUAGUAAUUAUGAUAAUCACGAGACAAAAACACAAAUAACAGAUGUACUAGGUGCGAACCAAGAUGAAAAUGCAUCUCAAAACAAAGAUUUAGGUAAAAUCAAUAUAAAAUCGUAUAUAGAAUUAGAAGGAAACACGAUUGGUUUACUAAAACAAGAAGAAAUACCGGCGUGUGUGAUUGAAGCGUGCGAGGAAUUAAAAAUGAACGAAAUAUCAACUGACGAUACUGAGAGCAAUGAUGUAGAUGACGAAAUAGUCACUGACGGUCCAGAAACGGAUCAAAUCGUUAAUCGAACGACAGAAGACGUUACACCAAUAAACACCUACACGCGGCACGAAGAGCUAAACCAAAAACUCAGCAUCAAAGUCGAAGGCGGUCAAAGUGAGAUGAGCGUGAACGCUGGCACUAGAGCUGAUGAAGCUGAUCUGCGUGAAGCCAACGUCGACAAUGUCAGUAAUGCCGACGCCACAGACGCCGGAAUAAAUGUGAAGACAGAACAUUUCACAUACGGCGAUUUCAAUAAGGACUGCCCAAAGAGCCAACUAGUUAUAAAACAAGAAUAUGACGAUAUAUAUUCCGAGGGUGUUUCUCAAAGCAGUGAUUGCUCUAUAAAGAUUUUGUCGGUUGGUACUUUGAAAGAUGAACUAAAGCGCCAAGAGUGCGGGAUUCCAGAUUACAGUGACGCAGUCAAACUGGAGGCUACCGGAGAUGACUUCACUUCGUUCGAUUAUCCUAAUUACGAUGACAGCAUGGACAGCAAUGAGGCUGCAGCUUUUUGUAGAGUCGAAACUUGUCUCCAAGAAGACGGACAAAGGAUCGAACGUAAUCAGAUUUAUGAUGAUAAACAAGACUUGUAUAGAGUAAUCAAGGAGGAGGAACACUUGACGGUGACCGACACACAUAUAAUUUCCAACAAGCUCACCAACACGUCAUUGUACGCAAACCCCUAUGAUGUGCUGAUAAAAAGUAAAAAAGGAUUAGUCAUGGAAAUACGACCUAUGUCCGGGCGAAAUUUCGGUAUGAAAUCCGGCAACCCAGAAGAGAUAUUGCCAACAAUCGACAAUUACGACGAUUACGAAGCUUUCCAAUUGAAUUCGAUCACCGGAGACGUUGCGUCUCUCGAGCAAGAAGCCUACGGUCUCCUGAAAGCUAAAACGAAGACGACACGCAGAAAAAAGCACGUUUGUCCGAAGUGCGGUAAUGCAUACGCAUCAGAAACAUGCCUGAAGAGGCACCUCAAAGUCCACGACACUAUUGAGAAGCAAACGAAAACUUCGGUGAAGAGACAAAAGGCUAAAAUCGAUAAUCAGAGUAAAAAAGUCGAUUCACUGAAAUCGAGCAUCGGCAAGAAGAAGAAAAACGCUGUCAUUGAAACUAAAGUGGAAAAAAUCGACAUAGAACCAAUCGCGGAGAAGAAGACGGACAAAGAAGGCUACGUGUGCAUCUGCGGCGACGUUUUCCGGCGCAGGAUUCGUAUGGAGACCUGCAUGAGGUCGCACAACACGGACCCCGACGUGAGUCACGUCAAGUGCACGACUUGCUCGAAGAACUUCAACAGCAAAGAGGAGUUGGCCUUCCACAGGAAACGAGUCCACAGGAAGCGGUUUCCUUGCAAGUUCUGCCCCACGGACUACGACACCGGGAAAGACCUAUUCGAACACCUGAAAAUCCACCGGCAAGUUCAACUGACCGAGUUCAAGGUUAUAUCGGAGAUGGUCAACGGUAAGGAGAUAUUAAAGUGUUUUAUGUGCAAUAACUCUUUUAAGGAGCUACCUCAGCUGAAGUGUCACGUGAUGGAAGAUCACGUAGAGCCCUACUCGUGUAGGUACUGCAGAGCGGCGAUCCCUAAUAUUAUCGACUUCGCGAAACACAUUAAAUCGUUUCAUCCCGAAGUUGAAGGUCAGUCACUCCUGGACGUUCUCGAGGCCUUCUCCAAAUUGGUGCAAGCUUGGAAAUGUGAGGAAUGCGGCAUGCAGUUCCACGAAGCAGAUAAACUGGCUCUGCAUCAGGCGGAGACUCACAACCCAGACUUAAGAGAGCAACUUCAGAUACAAUGUGAAGAUUGCCGGAGAGUGUUUGUCAGUCACAAGGGCCUACAGUCUCACAGGAGAGUGCAUCACAGCGUCGAAGUCGAGUCCGCGCCGCCUGAGGAGGCCGGGGUCAUGUGUGUGGAGUGCCGCAAGAUGUGCAAGGACAUGGAGGCGCUGACGUCCCACAUGAGGCUGCAUUCGCCCGAGAGGAAAUUUCCCUGCAAGUUCUGUGAUUUCCGCUUCGCCACCGCGGAAAAGAGGAGAGUCCACCAGGAGCUACACACUGGCGACAUGAAGUACGUCUGCUUUAUAUGCGAGUACCAGUGCACGUCGGAGAACCGGUUGAAACUGCACAAACGAUCAGCCAAACACCAGAGCAUGAAGGAGUACCUGCUGUCUGGGGCCUCGCUGACCGAGGAGAAGCCCGCAGCGAGCGAAGAAAGGAAAAACAAGAAAGAGACAAGAUUCAAAAAGAGGAAGAAAGAAAGAGAUAGAAGCGCGGGCAGUGGGUCCUCCGGGAGCUCCGUGCUGUGCGAUGUGUGUGGUGACAAGUUUCCCAGCAAGAGCCUGAUGCUGGAACACAAACAGUCGCAUCCCUUCAUAGAGUUCCCCAACGAAGACAAACCCACUAGGAUAUUCUUCAAAUAUCAUUAAACUUGAACGAAUGCAACAUUUGUAUAGUAGAGUAAGAUCCCAGGGCCACCAGAUGUCUCGUAUUUUCUGACGAACGAAAUGUGGCCGAUUGCGUAGUGAAGUUAGGUAAUUACUUUGGGAGCUUUAAAGCGUCUGCAAAGCAAUUCGGCCGACGGAAAGUGUCUGGGAGUAUUGGCGACAUAUUUUUAAGGAUAUUGCCUAAAAUAUACGUAAAAAUCAGCUUUCAGAAUUUACGUGAAGUACGUAAUGGUUUUAUGUACCUUGAGUACCUGAUACCUGAAAAUUGGCCGUCUAAGCAAGCUAGCAGGUAGGCAUGCGUUUUUAGUACAUACUAACACUACGCAAUCGGCCACAUUUCGUUCGUCAGAAAAUACUUGACGUCUGGUGGCCCUGGGAUCUUGGACUAUAGUGUGAUAUAAUAUUAUUGUAAAUAUUAAAAAAAUAACAACGUUAAAAUCUUGCCUAUACCUGAAAAUGUACAAAUUGUUUUAAGAUUAUUCCGGUAAAGAAAUCCCUUUGUAUAUUGAAUACGUUGAAGCGUUAAUUCUAAAUCACGGAUGCCUGUCUGGUUUAUUAAUUAGAAAUGUACUAACCGUGUACUUUGUUAUAAAUGUUAUGUUGUAAUUUACUAUGUAAACAUAUUCUAAAGUGUUACUUAAUAUAAUAUUUAUGACUCACAGAUUAUAUUUUCAUAGACAAUACUCGUUGUGCUUUGGUAAAAACUGCCUUUUAUACUAACCCCGGGCUCGGAAUGUACGCUGUAUAGACUUUGGUUUAUAAUAUUAAAAAAAAAAAGAGUUGCUUUUAGAUUUUAAAAAGUAGUUAUAAUUAUUUUGAACGUUAUAAAGCACUUAAAAAAGCAGCGACAUAAGUGCUAAUAAUAUUAUUGGUAUGAUUUCGAAAUGAGUGACAUUUUUCAAAUUUUUUUUAGCACUAUUUUUUCCUGCGAUAUUUUAUUUCCCUCAAAUAAAAGUACUAUAUUGAAUACAACUCUAUGACGUGUGACGCCAUUUGUAGAUAGGUUACAUUAUAUAAACAUACACGUACGAUAUACGACAUCUUGAUUUGCGAUAACGUGGCGAUUGUUAAAACAAAAGUCAUUAAUAUUUCACAGAGUAGUGUUUGGUGAUCUUUUUAAUUUCAUUGAAAUUCCUUUUAAUUACUCUUUAGAUUUUCAUACUAUUCCUGUUCGGAGAUUCUCUGAGCCUCUCAGUUAAAACUGAUUUUACUUAAAAACCAUAGACUUUAUUUUCAUAAGUUCAAAAUAUUACAAUCGUUUGCCUAUAGUUUUGUCAAUACGGAAUUUAAAAAAAAACUGUUUUAUUGUAUUUCAAUAAACGCGCUCAAAAUUUUUGAUUGACUCAAAAAGCAUGAAUCAUUGUAUAAGCCGCGCCAAUAAAGAAACGAAUCGAAAAUGGCGUCUAUGUAUCUGCACUGACAGAUGGUAGGGUCAACAAAUAAAAAGAUUAUUGUUGUGGUUUAUUAUAAAAAAAUGUAAAAAACAAAUGAGAAUCUACUUUAUUUCACUUUAUGCCCUGGCAGAGGGGAAGGUAUCCCAUCUGGGAUGCAACUUGCGUAGACACUUGCUGCCAGUCAUCUAAGUCGCACAACUCGAAAGUAAAAAAACUCGAACUCAACAACAAAGUCAGAACUGAUAUUUUUUUGCGUGCAGUACGCGCCGUGUGCGACUAAAGACAGCAAUAGCUUAGAACGGGAGCGCAUAAUCGCCGCCGCCAUUUUAGAUUCGUUUCUUUAUUGGCGCGGCUUAUAAUAACUUAAUACAUUACUCGUAAAGUUCUGCUUUUUUUUGAACUAAUAAUUAUUUUUUUACAAAUACUUUUUCGAAUAUACUUGUGUGCCAUCUAACCAAGGUCUGUGGUCGAUAUGUCAUAUUAGAGCUAGGGUUAUUUAUUGUAAUUUAUCCUAACCCUAUCGAAUAUGGCCGUUUAUGAUGAACUAUGUUUAUUGUCUAUGCCACUAAACAAAGUAGGUUUGUCGCUUGCGUUUGUUUUUUAGUCUUUCAAUUGGGACAUUUUCCCCAAAGAUGUUAUUUAAUCAAGCGUGUACAAAAAUGAGUAAGAUGAAACAUUUGGUUGUGGCCCACCUAGAUAUAUUAAAAAAGGAUGGAAAUAGUAUUUUAUGACGUCACUUGAGUCGCAGGCUCCACAGCGUGUUGCAGCUGCCACUAUUUUUAUUUAUUAUUAAAAGAAAAACCUUCGAUUGAUUUUCCGAAAAGUUUUUUUUAACUUCAUUUAAAUAAAAUAAUUAUCUUACCCGUCAGGUGUUAAAUAAUCUACUCAAUCGAACAGGUGAUGUGAUUAAAGUUUUUGAUAAACGCAGUGGUUAUUCCGGGGAAUGUCUGUCGUUUUAUCGGUCUCAUUGUGAUAUCAUUGCAAUAAUUCAGUACGUUAUGUAAGUACUUAAGGAGCGGUCUCUUAAUAUUUAAGAUUAAAAUUUGUAAAUAGAAACAUUUUUAGUGUAUGUUAUGAUUAACAUAAAUAUUAAAAGGUGUUUUUCAA
This is a long non-coding RNA of Bombyx mori (domestic silkworm), 8327 nucleotides long. RefSeq annotates it as zinc finger protein 41. The record is from RefSeq and is a predicted model, not a curated record. Lineage: Eukaryota; Metazoa; Arthropoda; Insecta; Lepidoptera; Bombycidae. The transcript has 3 exons.